This 3001-nucleotide long non-coding RNA is filed under the name Sus scrofa (pig). Its description in RNAcentral is "lncRNA (ENSSSCG00000058290.1)". Lineage: Eukaryota; Metazoa; Chordata; Mammalia; Artiodactyla; Suidae. The record is from RNAcentral.
AGUUUAGAUUUUAUUUCAAAUAUAACAGGGAAUUUAAAGCAUGAAAAUGAUGUGAUCCAAGUGGUUUAGCCAUUUUGGCUUGUUUAGUGAGAAUGAAUUAUAGCAGUGGGGUUGGUGAGUAGAGGGCAAGGAGCUGCUGUGACUGGUAAAGGCAUGAUGGUAUCUUGGACAGUAGUGGUAGUUAUGGAGGUGGACACAAUUGAAAAGCUGGGUGGUAAAUUUGUGGUGUUCAGCAGAACUCUGUAUUGAGCAGAUGUGGGAAUAAAGGAAAGGAAAAAUUAGGCGGGGGGUGUGUGUGUAUGUGCGUAUGUAACAAUCUAUUUGGUGUCUUUUCUAAGAAGGAAAAGCUGGAGGAAGCAGGUUGUAGCUUUUGAACAUGGUUAACGUUGAGAUUCCUAUUUACAUGCUCUGGUUAGUCUGUUAGGGAUGCAAAUAUGAAGCUCAGGGAGAAUUUAUGGAGGAAAACGGAGAUUUGGAAUUCAUCAUUCAUCUCUUCUUGAUGGCUCCAUUUUAUAGAAUUAAAGCCUGUAGUUGCAUUUAACUGGUAUGUUCUAAGUUUAGGGCAGAUUUAUUGAAAAUUGAAUGUAAACUUGGUUUUAGAUGUAACUGACAUAGGAAAGGUGUAAAACAUGUAUGAUACCUCCAAUAUCUGUGCAUUUCUCCUCAGACCAGCAGAUUAUAUAUAAAAUCUUGCAAAACAUUCAUUUAUUAAAAUCAAUUGAAAAUGGAAAAUAUUGGCAUAGAAAGGACAAAACAGAUUGUGAUAUAAAGGUACAUUGUAAACUUUAAAUUGAAAUGCUUAAGCUCUUUUCUUUAAUAAGCAUAUUUCUGAGUGAGAGGAAGCAAGUGAUUUUAUGCAUUACCAGUGACAAAAGACUUACCUGUUUCCCCUCAAGAGGAAAGAUUUAUGGCAAAGGCAGAUUAACUAAUCAAUAAUAAGACAGGAACGAGGCUAAGGCCAUUCUUAUUUGGUAAUCAGGGUUGGUCUCUGUUUUGGAAAGUUUGAUUUAAUUUACCUUUGCUUGCAGGCAACUCUAUGGUUGGAUCUAGUUAUCUGUUCAAAACCCUGUGUCAUAUUUGGCAUUUACUCCAUUUGGAGAGUAGACAGCAUAAUAAAAAUGUAUUCCAUGUUAUUUUUUUUCAGAGAAGAAACAUUCUGCACACCAUCACUAACUGUCUAUAAUCCAUAACAAUUUAAGUGUAAUUGAACUUAAUUCUCUGAGUAAAUUGUGGUUACUUUUCAGCUAUUUCUUUUAGUCCUGCUGAAAUUCAAAUAUUUGUUUUAGGGAUUAUACAAGGAUACUUUUCUCUCUUCAUCAAGCUCUAAGUGGCUUCAGUUCUUUCUGUGUGGUUGUGGUGCCAUGUUGUAAAUUCUCAGUUUAUUUUUGAAAGGGAAGUGAAAAGCUGGAUGAGAACCCCGAGGGGUUUCUCACAACACAGUCUCAUGGUUCAGUCUUCGGGAUCAUUUAUUGGGUCCACAGCAAGGAACUUACAAUCAGAGGCCUUGAUCUGGAUUAGGUUAUCCUCUAGCUAGCUCUAUGAUAUUAGCAGCAAAGCUCUUGAUGCAGAUGGGUCUCAAUUUUCAUACCUCAUACAAGACUGUUGGACUAGAAUGCAGUUUUUCAAAAAAAUUUUUGUAAUAAACCAGAUAAUAAGUAUUUUAGGCCCUGUGGAUUAGAUGCAAAAUCUAGAUCAUUAUGGAGAUAUUAAAUGCAUAAGUAUAUUAUAUAAAAUAAAUGAGAGAAAACAAAAUUUCAAUAAUUUGUGUUGAUAAAAUUUAAGACUUUAUUCCUAUACACUGACAUUUGAAUUUUAUAUAAUGUUAACAUGUCACAAAAUAUUAUUAUUUUUAUUUUUUAACCAUUUAAAAAUGCAAAAACCAUUCUUAGCUCACAGGUGGCACAAAAAUAGGCAGCAGGACUGAUUUGGCCUGAGGGAGGUCAUUUACCAAUCCCUGGGCUAGAUUAACUCUACAUUCUCCUAAAUUCAAGUAGAAUCUUCAUUAUAGACUCAUUAAAAUAUCUCAACACACUUUGCAUUACAAAUUGUAUGAUUUUUUCAAAAUUAUAUAGGGCAAUUUUCUAAGUUUUUUCUCAGUUCAUAGAUAUUUUUAAUUAUGCUGGGGAAUUUUAUCAGAAUAGAAUCAUAAAUAUAUACAAAUUAGACCAGAUAUAAAAUAAUUAUUAAAGAUGACUGAUAAUAAACUAAUCAUGUUUCUUCAAGAAUUAUUGGAGUGCUUAAGGGUCCUGUGCCUCAAAUCUGGCUGUAUCAAUUCUAAUCCUGGCUCUGGCUAGCUGUGUGAACUUGACAAAGUUAUUAACCUUAUAGCUCCUUGAUUUUCUCACUUGUACAAUGUAAAUGACAAUGAUAGUGCCUACUUCAUAGCAAUGCCAUGAAUAUUAAAUGCAUUAAUACUGCUAAAAUGCCUAUAAGAGAUUUUAAGUACAUUAUGAACUUUGAGAAAGCUUUAGCCAUUAAAAGUGGCUCUCUACUGCAUAAAUAAUUUUAUGUAAUUCUCAAAACAAUUAUAUCUGGUAGUUCACUUUUUAAAUUCACUAUUUUACAAAUAAAGAAUCUGAGAAUUGGAAAGCAAUUUACCCAGGAGUACAAUGCUCAGUGGCAGAGCCAAAAUGCAAAGCCAGAUUAGAGGGACUUUAAAACAAAUGCAUUUUAACUACGCAGCUGGGCAUUUGAUGAAAUUAUCACUAUCUAUCCAUACUAACUUUCUGAGACAGUUUUCUGAUAUUCAUAUUGUGGUUGUUUUCCCAGGGAUUACAGGUAUAUAAUGCUAUUUUGUUACAUUUCCCCAUUCCAUGCCCGUGUUGAAGUGAAUGCAUGAUUUUUUAAAAACUUGACACAAUGAAAUUUACCUUCAUCCUCUGGUUUCUUCUAUUACUGGUCAGUAACUGACACUCUAAAAUAUAAUAUCGCUUCUUUUUGUGCUUCUACUUCCUAAGCUUUAUUUAAACCUCUGCACUGCAGUUGUUCAUAGCUAAUCCAC